Molecule: long non-coding RNA, 259 nt
Filed under: Triticum aestivum (bread wheat)
Lineage: Eukaryota; Viridiplantae; Streptophyta; Magnoliopsida; Poales; Poaceae
Description: long non-coding RNA (TAES_LNC012667)
Source: RNAcentral
CCAGGAUUGCCAGCGCAGCGAACGCCAUCGUCUGAUCUGAUCGCCGGAGCAGCUAGAUGAUCAAGGCUUUGAUAGCAUGUCCCUCUUUUAUUCUAGUUUACUUGUGGCCCUUGAGGAUGAGUUUCCUGGAUUAUGUAAUGCUGCUGGAUUAUGGUCUGUUAGCUUUCUUAAGAUUUUGCACUGUGGUUUGGCUACUGAGAUUUGGUGAGUUUGAUGAACCUGAAAGAGCUUUUGGUCCUAUUUAUCUCUGUUGUGGCCA